RNAcentral lists this long non-coding RNA (258 nucleotides) under Linum usitatissimum (flax). RNAcentral describes it as "long non-coding RNA (LUSI_LNC000615)". Lineage: Eukaryota; Viridiplantae; Streptophyta; Magnoliopsida; Malpighiales; Linaceae. The record is from RNAcentral.
ACUUAGAGGGGAGGUACUUGUUUAAUACAUUACAAUUCUGCAUCGCUGACUUGUAUUUCCAGAAUAAGUGCUCCAAAUAAUUUGUGUAUAAUUGUAGCUCUGGCAAGCAUUUGUUGGUGUCAAGGCACGGCGAACAGAUAAAUAUUAUCAAGAAUUGCUCACUUCAGAAUCUAAUCCAGAAAAUCAUGUAGAUGAAAAAUCAGAGAACGAUACUAAAAGUUUGCCAAGAGACCCUGCAUCAACGGAGAAGUGGAAAGG